This 162-nucleotide microRNA precursor is filed under the name Oryza brachyantha (malo sina). Its description in RNAcentral is "MIR812 microRNA precursor family". It matches the Rfam family "MIR812 microRNA precursor family", at positions 27 to 187 of the family's 205-position model. Lineage: Eukaryota; Viridiplantae; Streptophyta; Magnoliopsida; Poales; Poaceae. The record is from Rfam by way of RNAcentral.
UCCAACGUUUAAUCAUUCGUCUUAUUUGAAACUUUUUUGUGAUUAAUAUUUUUAUUGUUACUGGAUGACAAAAUAUAAAUAAUAUUUUAUAUAUAACUAAUUUUUUAAGUAUAUAUACAAAUUUUUUAAAUAAGACGAAUGGUCAAACGUUGAACACGAAAA